Molecule: unclassified non-coding RNA, 190 nt
Filed under: uncultured fungus
Lineage: Eukaryota; Fungi
Description: sequence contains ITS1
Source: RNAcentral
UUGACUUUAUUAAACACGUAGCUCAGAGGACACGGUAAGAAUAGGGUCUAAGUGACCCCGGCGGGCACCUGCGAGGCAGGCCGGGGGCCCCGCCCUGGGGCCGCCCGCCGAGGCAACGUACGGUAUGUUCACGGUGGGUUGGAGUCUCGCGACUCUCGUAAUGAUCCCUCCGCUGGUUCACCAACGGAGA